Molecule: ribosomal RNA, 1226 nt
Filed under: uncultured bacterium
Lineage: Bacteria
Description: bacterial SSU rRNA
Rfam family: Bacterial small subunit ribosomal RNA
Source: RNAcentral
AGAGUUUGAUCAUGGCUCAGAUUGAACGCUGGCGGCAGGCCUAACACAUGCAAGUCGAGCGGAAACGAGUUAUCUGAACCUUCGGGGAACGAUAACGGCGUCGAGCGGCGGACGGGUGAGUAAUGCCUAGGAAAUUGCCUUGAUGUGGGGGAUAACCAUUGGAAACGAUGGCUAAUACCGCAUGAUGCCUACGGGCCAAAGAGGGGGACCUUCGGGCCUCUCGCGUCAAGAUAUGCCUAGGUGGGAUUAGCUAGUUGGUGAGGUAAUGGCUCACCAAGGCGACGAUCCCUAGCUGGUCUGAGAGGAUGAUCAGCCACACUGGAACUGAGACACGGUCCAGACUCCUACGGGAGGCAGCAGUGGGGAAUAUUGCACAAUGGGCGCAAGCCUGAUGCAGCCAUGCCGCGUGUAUGAAGAAGGCCUUCGGGUUGUAAAGUACUUUCAGCAGUGAGGAAGGGGGUGUCGUUAAUAGCGGCAUUUCUUGACGUUAGCUGCAGAAGAAGCACCGGCUAACUCCGUGCCAGCAGCCGCGGUAAUACGGAGGGUGCGAGCGUUAAUCGGAAUUACUGGGCGUAAAGCGCAUGCAGGUGGUUUGUUAAGUCAGAUGUGAAAGCCCGGGGCUCAACCUCGGAACUGCAUUUGAAACUGGCAAACUAGAGUACUGUAGAGGGGGGUAGAAUUUCAGGUGUAGCGGUGAAAUGCGUAGAGAUCUGAAGGAAUACCAGUGGCGAAGGCGGCCCCCUGGACAGAUACUGACACUCAGAUGCGAAAGCGUGGGGAGCAAACAGGAUUAGAUACCCUGGUAGUCCACGCCGUAAACGAUGUCUACUUGGAGGUUGUGGCCUUGAGCCGUGGCUUUCGGAGCUAACGCGUUAAGUAGACCGCCUGGGGAGUACGGUCGCAAGAUUAAAACUCAAAUGAAUUGACGGGGGCCCGCACAAGCGGUGGAGCAUGUGGUUUAACUCGAUGCAACGCGAAGAACCUUACCUACUCUUGACAUCCCAAGAACUUAUCCAAAAAUGUCUUUGUGGCCUUCCGGGAAACCUUAAAACAAGUGGUUGCUUGGGUGUCCUCCACCCCGUGUUUGGAAAAAAUUGGGGUAAAUUCCCCCCAACAAGGGGGAAACCCUUAUUCUUUGUUUUUCCACCCAAGCAUUGUCUGGGAACUCCACGGAGAAUGCGCGGUGGUUAUAACCCCCCGGGAAGGGAGGGGGGGCGCCCCUCCAA